This 1379-nucleotide ribosomal RNA is filed under the name Psychrobacter sp. KJF1-10. Its description in RNAcentral is "bacterial SSU rRNA". The stretch from base 1 to 1121 matches the Rfam family "Bacterial small subunit ribosomal RNA", at positions 434 to 1533 of the family's 1533-position model. The record is from RNAcentral. Lineage: Bacteria; Pseudomonadati; Pseudomonadota; Gammaproteobacteria; Moraxellales; Moraxellaceae.
UUUAAGCAGUGAAGAAGACUCUAUGGUUAAUACCCAUAGACGAUGACAUUAGCUGCAGAAUAAGCACCGGCUAACUCUGUGCCAGCAGCCGCGGUAAUACAGAGGGUGCAAGCGUUAAUCGGAAUUACUGGGCGUAAAGCGAGCGUAGGUGGCUUGAUAAGUCAGAUGUGAAAUCCCCGGGCUUAACCUGGGAACUGCAUCUGAUACUGUCAGGCUAGAGUAGGUGAGAGGGAGGUAGAAUUUCAGGUGUAGCGGUGAAAUGCGUAGAGAUCUGAAGGAAUACCGAUGGCGAAGGCAGCCUCCUGGCAUCAUACUGACACUGAGGCUCGAAAGCGUGGGUAGCAAACAGGAUUAGAUACCCUGGUAGUCCACGCCGUAAACGAUGUCUACUAGUCGUUGGGGAACGGGAUUCCUUAGUGACGCAAGCUAACGCAAUAAGUAGACCGCCUGGGGAGUACGGCCGCAAGGUUAAAACUCAAAUGAAUUGACGGGGGCCCGCACAAGCGGUGGAGCAUGUGGUUUAAUUCGAUGCAACGCGAAGAACCUUACCUUGGUCUUGACAUAUCUAGAAUCCUGCAGAGAUGCGGGGGAGUGCCUUCGGGAAUUAGAAUUUACAAGGUGCUGCAUGGCUGUCGUCAGCUCGUGUCGUGAGAUGUUGGGUUAAGUCCCGCAACGAGCGCAACCCCUUUUCCUUAGUUACCAGCGGGUUAUGCCGGGCAACUCUAAGGAUACUGCCAGUGACAAACUGGAGGAAGGCGGGGACGACGUCAAGUCAUCAUGGCCCUUACGACCAGGGCUACACACGUGCUACAAUGGUAGGUACAGAGGGCAGCUACACGGGUGAUUGUGAUGCGAAUCUACAAAAAGCCUAUCGUAGUCCAGAUUGGAGUCUGCAACUCGACUCCAUGAAGUCGGAAUCGCUAGUAAUGCGGAUCAGAAUGCCGCGGUGAAUACGUUCCCGGGCCUUGUACACACCGCCCGUCACACCAUGGGAGUUGAUUGCACCAGAAGUGGGUAGCCUAACUUAGGAGGGCGCUCACCACGGUGUGGUUGAUGACUGGGGUGAAGUCGUAACAAGGUAGCCGUAGGGGCUCAAACUCUGCGGCUGGAUCACCUCCUCAUAGAGUUUGAUCCUGGCUCAGACUCUGAACGCUGGCGGCAGGCUUAACACAUGCAAGUCGAGCGGUAACAGGAGAAGCUUGCUUCUCGCUGACGAGCGGCGGACGGGUGAGUAAUACUUAGGAAUCUGCCCAGUAGUGGGGGAUAGCUCGGGGAAACUCGAAUUAAUACCGCAUACACCCUACGGGGAAAAGGGGGCUGCUUGCAGCUCUCGCUAUUGGAUGAGCCUAAGUCGGAUUAGCUAGUUGGUGGGGUAAAGG